GGUAAACAUUCAUGAAAUGCAUUUAUUCAAGUAAGAGAAAAGGGGAAUGAAAGUUUUGACAAUAAGGCGAAAGCAUCAUAGAAUAACACUUGAUUUGAGUCUUUCUCCCAUCAACCUAUAUGUUCUAGGAACAAUAAUAUUUCUAUAAGAAGCAUCACCAGAAAAUUAUUCUUUAAACAUACCCCUUUACUCUAAACCAAGAACUACUACUCUUCAAUCUUAUCCUUUGCGGCAUCGAUCCUGUCGGUCAUGUACUCAAGAUUUUCCUUCAACAAAUGGCUAAUGUCAUUCAUAUUCAUCAAAGAAUUCAAAGGGUCCAAAUUCUCACCAGUGAUGCACUUAGCAUAAAUAAGUUCCAACUCAAUUCUUUCGUUUUUCUUCCUUUGCUUCUCCAAUUUCUCGUUCAACUUGGAUAUGUUUCUAGUAAGAAAAGAUUCCUGGUCCAUCAUGUACUUACUUUGCUUCUUUGGAGGCAAUCUCUUGAAUUUUUCCAGCACAGAAACAGCUUCUGGAUGAGAAGGCCAAAUAUCUGGACUGGAAUUAUAAGCACUGAAAAUGAUUGCACAUGCAAUAACUCCACAAAGAGUAGUCAGUUCCAUGAGCUUCUUUAGCAGACCAGCCCUCCUUUUUUUGAAUGUCAAUUUCCUCCAAGCACCCAAAGGAGCCUCACCAAAUUGGUGCUCAUCCUCAAAUCAGCUAGUCUUCUAGAGCCCUAAAUGAAACAACACAGGCAAAAUGCAUUAAAAUUGGCUUUCAAGCUGUGAUCUUUUGAACUUCACUAUGCUUUUGAAGUAUCUGAAUUAAUAAAGAAAGUGAAACCACUCACUUUCAUGAGAAGUAGAUCAACUUAGAUUGAGCUUUUUCAUGACAAAAAAAAACUAAAUCACUGAAGUUUAUAACACAUACCUACGCCAGCAAUGCAUCCAAGCAUGGGUCUGAAAUUGUUAAAAUGGCAGUCAACGAUCACACUUCUUGCUGAUAGUGAUGAAGGGUUUGGAAAUAUAACCAGGCUUUCUGCAAAUGGUACAAUAACUAGGUAACAUAGAAGGGAAGCCACUUCUGAUCUCUUUCUAUAAAUUAAGAAUUCCAACAUCGUUUUUACAAUAGUGAUCCAUUUCUCAUCACUUCCAGAUUCCGCUUCAACUUGGCCCACUUCCCAAGCCAAUGGUAAGUUGCUAACCAUGGAUUCUUCUAAUUUAAGGAUUUUUCCACCUUACUCGUUAUUUUGCAACAAACAAAAUUGUUUCAGGGAUCAUUACUACAAUUACCAGUAAUCUUUACAAGAACAAGAGCCUUCUCUAAAAUGAUGGAGACGAAGUGGAUCUCUAAGAAUUAUUUCUCUCUUUUCCACUUUUGACAAGAGCUUCAUUGCUGUAUGACAAUCAUGGAAGACUCAAAUUUUUCAUCACCUUCAUAGGACCUGAAGUUGGCAAACUGAUAAUUCCAAAAGUCAGUUUGAAUGAAUCCAGCAAUCAUGGCAUUAUACAGCACAACAUUUUGGUUAGGAAUCAAUCUGAAAAUUUGGAUUGCAUGUUUUAGCAUGCAUAUCACCCAAUGCAGUCCUAGCGACAACAUCCAAAUCCAGUCCAAGUUUGACAGUGCAUUCAUGAAGUGUUUUAUCAUAUUCUAUCAUGUUAAUGAGAUUUGAACAACAAGCCUUUAAGGCACUUCCAAGAGUGAAAAUUCAAGCUUAAUCCAGUUUGAUGCAUCUCUAUUAACACUUCCAGUGGUCCCUCAUAUGCACCAAUUCUGACACCCUAGCAAUCAAAGAAUUCCAAGAAACAGUAUCCAACCCAUCAGAAGACUGAAACAAAAGCCUUGCCUGAUCAACCCUCUCACAUUUGCAAUACACAUCAAUAAACAAAUUGGUCAGAAGCACUCGUUGAGCCAAACCGCAAACAACAGCGACUCCACGAAUCACUUUACACAUUCCAAUAUCCACUGUUUGACAACAAGCGCUUAGCACUCCCACAUAACUAAACUCAUCGAGCUUUGAACAAGCCACUCUAGCUUCAUUAAACAAACCAAAGGCCUUUUCAUAAGAACCCAUCUCGCAUAUCCAAAAAUCAAAAGAUUAUAAGAAAUCACACAACGGUCAGGCAUUCAAUCAAACAUGUUUUGAGCAAUACCCAUCUCGCCAUAUGCACCAUACAAAUUAAGAAUAUUGUUGAGCAAGAAGAGGCAGCCCAUGUGGGCAUGAGUAAGCUUGCCAUGGAUUAAAGGCCCAGAUUUGGCAGAAAAUUGAACCAGUUUAGUAAAGGCAACCGAGUCCGAAGAGAAAAUUGGGGGGCAUGAUUGAGAAAGCUGGGGUGAUACCGUUAAAGUUGAGGGAAUGCAGUGAAAGAUGUUUUAGAUUGUGUGAAUGGAACAAGAA
This 2374-nucleotide unclassified non-coding RNA is filed under the name Hevea brasiliensis (rubber tree). Lineage: Eukaryota; Viridiplantae; Streptophyta; Magnoliopsida; Malpighiales; Euphorbiaceae. The record is from RNAcentral.